UUUAAUAUCUGUUUUAAAAUAAAUUUAACAGUGGGACACGCUUUUGUCAUUAAUUAUAGAAGCGAACAAACAAGAAAACCUUCUACUAUCYAAAUAUCAUGGGCAAUGAAAUCUGUUGUUUUUCCAGUGUAGGAGAACUUAGAACUUGCAUAUUUAUUGUGAUUCUCCAUGGAAACAUUCCACUCCUUUUACAGUCACUCUAAUCACUUCCAUUAAUUUAGUGGUCUGUCGUUGGGGAAGGGGAAAUGCAUAGUAGACAAGUCUGGGGAAAAAAGAAAAUCCCCUACCUGUUAAAAUUAGCUACUGUUGUUUAUUGAUAUCCCGCAAGAGUACUAUUUUGCUGAAAUUAGUUUAGUUUACUCCUUUGAGUAUAUUCAUAUUUGAGGUGUAAAUCUGAGUUAUCUUUUAAGCUUGCAGUUACCUGAAUACCAGUAGUUUAUAAGCAGCAGUCUCCUAGAAAACAUGACCUCAGCAUAGGCACUACUGCCAUGAAUGUCCUUGUCAGAAAUUACUUUCUGAAUCAGCUCCUUUAACAACACUUAGAUACCAUGUGUGUCUACUAACUCUUUGUUGUUGAAUGUUAAUAUAAUUUAGUCUUUUAAAAAUAAAGAGUAGGGAACCUGUUUGGCAUUUGGGUGUUCUUUUAAAUCUAGAUAUUAUUACAUUUUGUUAUGCUUGUAAAACAUUUUACUUGGAAUCUCUGUUCAGAAUUUAAAUAACUGUCAUCUUGCUGCUUGGUUGUAUUCAGUACAAUGAAAUUUUUUAAUGACAUGAAAUGAUGAUUCUAACAGCUGUUGAGAAAUUGGAAUGACUCCAGCCAAGGGCCACCGACAUGGCAAGGGGCGGCAGACAUGAAGUAUGAGGAGAGGCUUGAAGAACUGUAUUUGUUUAGCCUCCAGAAGGGAAGGUGAAAAGGAGAUCUUACUGCUGUCUUAAGCUAUUUAAUGUGUAUUUAUAGAGAAGACGGACAUUCUUCUGUGAAGUGCAGAGUGAAAGUGUAAGGGUCAGAGGGUACAAAUCCUCACGGAAAAUUCUUUUAGGAUGUUAGGGAAAAAAAAUCACAAUGGGGAGGCAAGAACUGAAACAGGUCAUCCAGAGAGGCUUUUCAAUCUCCAUUCUUGGAAAUAGGCAAGCUUCGGCUUGGGCAAGGCCCUGAGCAACUUGAUCCAAUAUUGAUGUUAGCCUUGCUUUGUAAGAAAAACAUUGGACCAAAUGACCUGAUGAGAUCCCUUUUGAUCUGAAUUAUUCCAUGAUUCUCUAAAUCUAAGCAGCAUCUGGCUUUUUUUAAAUGAGUUUCAAGAUAAACUGGAUAUACAUGUUUAAUUAUUCAUAGUAAGCA
Molecule: long non-coding RNA, 1339 nt
Organism: Nothoprocta perdicaria
Lineage: Eukaryota; Metazoa; Chordata; Aves; Tinamiformes; Tinamidae
Exons: 2
Source: RefSeq, a predicted model, not a curated record